Molecule: long non-coding RNA, 896 nt
Organism: Panicum virgatum (switchgrass)
Lineage: Eukaryota; Viridiplantae; Streptophyta; Magnoliopsida; Poales; Poaceae
Exons: 2
Source: RefSeq, a predicted model, not a curated record
UGGAGCUUAAAAACAACCCUUCCCCAGACCCCGCACAGUGCGGGAAGCCUACGGCACUGGAUGGCCCAUACCUUGAUCAUGGCGAACCGCACCCUGGAUACGAUCGGCUUUCCCGCACUCCUCAAUGAGAUGUUGAGAAGGGCACGCUACCCUUUCCAGCCCGAGUAUGCGGUCUAUGCUCGUGGCUAUGGCAUAGGCAUGGUCGACUACGUGGCUACCCUCCACAUUGAAGCUAAGAUGGUGGUUGGAUCGGAGGCCUACGACUUAUAAGCAAAAGGAACAUCGCCCGCCUUCGUUACGAACAUAGGGAGCUUCAGGAGGAUCCUUUCACCUACCUGCUGUUGAGAGGACCUGAGGAGCCAUUUGCAUAUUGUAUCUCACCACCGGUUGGGCCUUUCACCAUAGAGCGGUGCAUGGCGGAGACCAUCUCCGCUUAUGACUUGGUGCACCGGAGCUUGCUUUGGGAGUUGGAUGAGACAAGAAGACGUCUCUACAAUCUUCAAGUACAAGCCGAGACCAUAAGAGCAAAGGUGGCAAUUUCUAAGUUCUAACCUAAAUUGCAGGUGAGUCGAAAGUUAUUUUGGUCACUUCUAUCAUGGCGAGGAGAGGAGUAGGUCUUUGUGAUCACAAUGGUGCUGCUCAAGAUGUCAUUGCUUUUGCGCUUUUAUCAUUUUAUCUGCUGUGUGGUGUCUUUUGUGAGAGCAUGACAAACACUAAGUUUUAAUUUUCAUGUCUCAUUUAUAUCAUUCAUGAGCUCAAGGCUUGUAUUUGAAGGCUGAAUCCUUUAAAUUUCGGAUUUGAACCUCCUAUAUCAUGAAUUUGUAAUAUUUAUGUUGAACUCAUGUAAUGACUAAAAUUGCUUUUUAUGAUGCUUUGGUGAUAUAUUUAUUUAUAAA